This 443-nucleotide ribosomal RNA is filed under the name uncultured bacterium. RNAcentral describes it as "partial 16S ribosomal RNA". It matches the Rfam family "Bacterial small subunit ribosomal RNA", at positions 338 to 795 of the family's 1533-position model. The record is from RNAcentral.
CCUACGGGGGGCAGCAGUGGGGAAUAUUGGGCAAUGGGCGCAAGCCUGACCCAGCAACGCCGCGUGAAGGAAGAAGGCUUGCGGGUUGUAAACUUCUUUUCUCAGGGACGAAGAAAGUUACGGUACCUGAGGAAUAAGCCACGGCUAACUACGUGCCAGCAGCCGCGGUAAUACGUAGGUGGCAAGCGUUAUCAGGAUUUACUGGGUGUAAAGGUCGUGUAGGCGGGGAAGCAAGUCAGAUGUGAAAACCACGGGCUCAACCUGUGGCCUGCAUUUGAAACUGGUUUUCUUGAGUACUGGAGAGGCAGACGGAAUUCCUAGUGUAGCGGUGAAAUGCGUAGAUAUUAGGAGGAACACCAGUGGCGAAGGCGGUCUGCUGGACAGCAACUGACGCUGAGGCGCGAAAGCGUGGGGAGCAAACAGGAUUAGAUACCCGGGUAGUC